Molecule: ribosomal RNA, 460 nt
Filed under: uncultured bacterium
Lineage: Bacteria
Description: partial 16S ribosomal RNA
Rfam family: Bacterial small subunit ribosomal RNA
Source: RNAcentral
CCUACGGGGGGCAGCAGUGAGGAAUAUUGGUCAAUGGACGAGAGUCUGAACCAGCCAAGUAGCGUGAAGGAUGACUGCCCUAUGGGUUGUAAACUUCUUUUAUAUGGGAAUAAAACGUUCCACGUGUGGGAUUUUGUAUGUACCAUAUGAAUAAGGAUCGGCUAACUCCGUGCCAGCAGCCGCGGUAAUGCGGAGGAUCCGAGCGUUAUCCGGAUUUAUUGGGUUUAAAGGGAGCGUAGGUGGAUUGUUAAGUCAGUUGUGAAAGUUUGCGGCUCAACCGUAAAAUUGCAGUUGAAACUGGCAGUCUUGAGUACAGUAGAGGUGGGCUGAAUUCGUGGUGUAGCGGUGAAAUGCUUAGAUAUCACGAAGAACUCCGAUUGCGAAGGCAGUUCACUGGACUGCAACUGACACUGAGGCUCGAAAGUGUGGGUAUCAAACAGGAUUAGAUACCCCUGUAGUC